This 428-nucleotide long non-coding RNA is filed under the name Homo sapiens (human). RNAcentral's name for it is "HSALNT0331397". The record is from RNAcentral. Lineage: Eukaryota; Metazoa; Chordata; Mammalia; Primates; Hominidae.
GCGCGGGCGGGGUCGGGGGCCGGGUCGGGCGCCCGAGGUCCUGGGCCGGGGUUCCGCGGGUUCUUCGCCCCCGGGCCUUUCAGUGGCGCGGGCCGAGUGGCCAUGGCGCUCGGGUGCGCGCAGUGCACGCGUACUGAGAGGUGGGGCCUCUAAGCGUGGUUGGGAUUAACCUGUCGAUGGAUUCAUGGAUUAAAGGGUUAUCACCGGAGUGGGACUGGUGACUUCAUUAGAAGAGGAAGGAAGACCUGAGCUGGCCUGUGAAUAUGCUCCGCCCCCUGGCCAUGUGACACCUGCGCCACCCUCAGGACUCUGCAGAGUCCCCAGCAGCAAGAAGGCCCUCACCAGGUGCAGCCCCUCAACCUUGGACUUCUCAGCCCCCAGGGCUGUAACAAAUAAAUUCUUUUUUAAAGUAAAUUACCCAGUUUCAG